Molecule: non-coding RNA, 107 nt
Filed under: Propithecus coquereli (Coquerel's sifaka)
Lineage: Eukaryota; Metazoa; Chordata; Mammalia; Primates; Indriidae
Source: RNAcentral
GGCUGGUCCGAAAGUAGUUAUCUCACUUGAUUGUUCACAGUCAGUUACAGAUUGAACUCCUUGUUGUAUUACUUUCCCCCCUCCUCACUACUGCAUUUGACAAAAAA